CCUACGGGUGGCUGCAGUGGGGAAUCUUGCGCAAUGGACGAAAGUCUGACGCAGCGACGCCGCGUGGGUGAAGAAGGCCUUCGGGUUGUAAAGCCCUGUCGAGUGGGAAAAAUGGCGCCUAGAAUAAUACGCUAGGCGAUUGAUGGUACCACUAGAGGAAGCACCGGCUAACUCCGUGCCAGCAGCCGCGGUAAUACGGAGGGUGCAAGCGUUGUUCGGAAUUAUUGGGCGUAAAGGGCAAGUAGGUGGUCUUGUAAGUCUACUGUGAAAUCCCU
Molecule: ribosomal RNA, 275 nt
Filed under: uncultured bacterium
Lineage: Bacteria
Description: partial 16S ribosomal RNA
Rfam family: Bacterial small subunit ribosomal RNA
Source: RNAcentral